GCGGGCGUAGUAUAUCGGUAGUACGUGAGCUUCCCAAGCUUGAGGGGCGGGUUCGAUUCCCGCCGCCCGCACCA
RNAcentral lists this transfer RNA (74 nucleotides) under Verrucomicrobia bacterium TMED40. RNAcentral's name for it is "tRNA-Gly". It matches the Rfam family "tRNA". Rfam says of the family: Transfer RNA (tRNA) molecules are approximately 80 nucleotides in length. Lineage: Bacteria; Pseudomonadati; Verrucomicrobiota. The record is from RNAcentral. RNAcentral also lists the same sequence under 3 other names.